GGGGAUUUAGCUCAGUGGUAGAGCGCUUGCCUAGCAAGCAUAAAGCACUGGGUUCGGUCCCCAGCUCCG
Molecule: transfer RNA, 69 nt
Filed under: Rattus norvegicus (Norway rat)
Lineage: Eukaryota; Metazoa; Chordata; Mammalia; Rodentia; Muridae
Rfam family: tRNA
About the family: Transfer RNA (tRNA) molecules are approximately 80 nucleotides in length. Their secondary structure includes four short double-helical elements and three loops (D, anti-codon, and T loops). Further hydrogen bonds mediate the characteristic L-shaped molecular structure. tRNAs have two regions of fundamental functional importance: the anti-codon, which is responsible for specific mRNA codon recognition, and the 3' end, to which the tRNAs corresponding amino acid is attached (by aminoacyl-tRNA synthetases). tRNAs cope with the degeneracy of the genetic code in two manners: having more than one tRNA (with a specific anti-codon) for a particular amino acid; and 'wobble' base-pairing, i.e. permitting non-standard base-pairing at the 3rd anti-codon position.
Source: Rfam by way of RNAcentral